GACGAACGCUGGCGGCGUGCUUAACACAUGCAAGUCGAACGGAAAGGCCCUGCUUUUGUGGGGUGCUCGAGUGGCGAACGGGUGAGUAACACGUGAGUAACCUGCCCUUGACUUUGGGAUAACUUCAGGAAACUGGGGCUAAUACCGGAUAGGAGCUCCUGCUGCACGGUGGGGGAUGGAAAGUUUCGGCGGUUGGGGAUGGACUCGCGGCUUAUCGGCUUGUUGGUGGGGUAGUGGCUUACCAAGGGUUUGACGGGUAGCCGGCCUGGGAGGGUGACCGGCCACAUUGGGACUGAGAUACGGCGCAGACUCCUACGGGAGGCAGCAGUGGAGAAUAUUGCACAAUGGGCGGAAGCCUGAUGCAGCAACGCCGCGUGCGGGAUGACGGCCUUCGGGUUGUAAACCGCUUUCGCCUGUGACGAAGCGUGAGUGACGGUAAUGGGUAAAGAAGCACCGGCUAACUACGUG
Molecule: ribosomal RNA, 468 nt
Filed under: uncultured bacterium
Lineage: Bacteria
Description: partial 16S ribosomal RNA
Rfam family: Bacterial small subunit ribosomal RNA
Source: RNAcentral